CAAACGAUGAUAACUUAAAUCUAUAUAAUGGGGAUUAGGAUUAAGGGUGUUCCAUAUACCUUUCCGAAGUGCAAUCGGAAGAGACAAGUCCGCAGUAGGAGCAGGGUCAGGCGCAGGACGUGAAUCAACCGAGCCGGAUGCUGGGCGAGGACGACGAUGAUAUGUCAAGAGUGGAGUGUCUGUUGCAGGGAGUCUAGGAGGAGCUACACUAGACUCUCCAACGGUUGGAAUGGGUAAGACUUCUAUAGCGGAAGGUGAAGGAGGAGAUAUAGUAGACUCCCUAAAGGCCGAUAUAGGUAAAACCUCAGAUAUAUCAAGAUGGUCAGGAUGGUCAGAGGAGGUAAUCCAAAGUUUGUAAUGGGUAAGACUUCUGUAGCGGAACAGGAAGGAGGAGAUAUAAUAGACUCCCUAAAGGCCGGUAUAGGUAAACCCUCAGAUAUAUCAAGAUGGUCAGAAUGGUCAGAAGAGGUAAAGAAAGGUUUAGACUCAAAAAAUGUGACAUCGGCUGACAUAAGGUACCUACGAAGANNNN
Molecule: long non-coding RNA, 532 nt
Filed under: Nicotiana benthamiana
Lineage: Eukaryota; Viridiplantae; Streptophyta; Magnoliopsida; Solanales; Solanaceae
Description: long non-coding RNA (NBEN_LNC017330)
Source: RNAcentral